This is a long non-coding RNA of Pteropus alecto (black flying fox), 531 nucleotides long. RefSeq lists it as uncharacterized. The transcript is spliced from 3 exons. The record is from RefSeq and is a predicted model, not a curated record. NCBI's taxonomy places the organism in Eukaryota, Metazoa, Chordata, Mammalia, Chiroptera, Pteropodidae.
UGUACCCCAGGGCAGGAGAUGGCAGGUCCAUCUCAGAACUGCCCAGCACAGGAGACGCCUCUGUCUAUUGUACACACCCUUAGUGUAUGCGGAAAACUGAAAAGAGCAUUUUAUGUACAAACGGGCAUUUACCUGAGGGCUGAAAGGCCUUAUGGGAAACACGGGAGUGGUAUCUGCCCAGCUCCUUCCCCCAGGCCGAUCAUAAUUCCUGUUUUCCUCAGGACACAGUAAACGCUUGGAAGGGCAGCUGUGAGGACGUGCCAGGGCCCCCGGCAUCACCACGGGAGGAGGGUCUGCCAGCAGCAGGGGAGAGCGAGGCCAGCACAGAGGGACAGCAGAGCAGACCUAGUGAGUGACCGAAUGACUCACUGGAGCCCUGGAUGUCAGCAGACUUCCUCGCUGUGAGCCUGUGAGCGGGCAAAUCCACACCCCGCCCCCCGCCUCCAUUUGUUAGCUUUAGCUGAGUUGGGAUUUUUGACCCUUGUCAAUGAAAAAGUGUCCCAGAAUUAAAGCUCGUAGGUUUCCCAGUGA